RNAcentral lists this unclassified non-coding RNA (34 nucleotides) under Riccardoella tokyoensis. RNAcentral's name for it is "partial miscellaneous RNA". Lineage: Eukaryota; Metazoa; Arthropoda; Arachnida; Trombidiformes; Ereynetidae. The record is from RNAcentral.
GAAACAUCAGGGAAAGGGAUCUUGACGCUCGCGU